RNAcentral lists this ribosomal RNA (253 nucleotides) under uncultured bacterium. RNAcentral describes it as "partial 16S ribosomal RNA". It matches the Rfam family "Bacterial small subunit ribosomal RNA", at positions 524 to 776 of the family's 1533-position model. The record is from RNAcentral.
UACGAAGGGGGCUAGCGUUGUUCGGAAUUACUGGGCGUAAAGCGCACGUAGGCGGCGCAGCAAGUUAGAUGUGAAAUGCCUGGGCUUAACCUAGGAACUGCAUUUAAGACUGCUGUGCUAGAGACCGGGAGAGGGUGGCGGAAUUCCCAGUGUAGAGGUGAAAUUCGUAGAUAUUGGGAAGAACACCGGUUGCGAAGGCGGCCGCCUGGACCGGCACUGACGCUGAGGUGCGAAAGCGUGGGGAGCAAACAGG